UNUAAAGAGACCAGGAUAGCCGUUGUAGUU
RNAcentral lists this non-coding RNA (30 nucleotides) under Mus musculus (house mouse). The record is from RNAcentral. Lineage: Eukaryota; Metazoa; Chordata; Mammalia; Rodentia; Muridae.